UACGUAGGUGACAAGCGUUGUCCGGAUUUACUGGGCGUAAAGAGCGUGUAGGCGGCCUGGUAGGUCAGUUGUGAAAACUCGAGGCUCAACCUCGAGACGCCGAUUGAAACCAUCAGGCUAGAGUCCGGAAGAGGAGAGUGGAAUUCCCGGUGUAGCGGUGAAAUGCGCAGAUAUCGGGAAGAACACCCGUGGCUAAGGCGGCUCUCUAGUACGGUACUGACGCUGAGACGCGAAAGCGUGGGGAGCGAACAGG
RNAcentral lists this ribosomal RNA (253 nucleotides) under uncultured bacterium. RNAcentral's name for it is "partial 16S ribosomal RNA". It matches the Rfam family "Bacterial small subunit ribosomal RNA", at positions 524 to 776 of the family's 1533-position model. The record is from RNAcentral.